GACGAACGCUGGCGGCGUGCCUAAUACAUGCAAGUAGAACGCUGAAGAGAGGAGCUUACUCUUCUUGGAUGAGUUGCGAACGGGUGAGUAACGCGUAGGUAACCUGCCUUGUAGCGGGGGAUAACUAUUGGAAACGAUAGCUAAUACCGCAUAACAAUGGAUGACACAUGUCAUUUAUUUGAAAGGGGCAAUUGCUCCACUACAAGAUGGACCUGCGUUGUAUUAGCUAGUAGGUGAGGUAAUGGGUCACCUAGGCGACGAUACAUAGCCGACCUGAGAGGGUGAGCGGCCAAGCUGGGUCGGGGGGACGGCCCGGACUCCUGCGAGAGGCAGAAGUAGGGAAUUCUCGGGGAUGGCGGCAAUCGUGACCGAGCGACGCCGCGUGAGUGACGAAGGUUUUCGGAUCGUAAAGCUGUUGUAUAAGUCAAGAUCGGAUGGCAGAGUGGGAUGGGCACACUGUGACGGUAGCUUAAGAGAAAGGGACGGCUAACUACGUG
Molecule: ribosomal RNA, 497 nt
Filed under: uncultured bacterium
Lineage: Bacteria
Description: partial 16S ribosomal RNA
Rfam family: Bacterial small subunit ribosomal RNA
Source: RNAcentral